UACGAAGGGUGCAAGCGUUAAUCGGAAUUACUGGGCGUAAAGCGCGCGUAGGUGGUUCAGUAAGUUGGAUGUGAAAUCCCCGGGCUCAACCUGGGAACUGCAUCCAAAACUGCUGAGCUAGAGUACGGUAGAGGGUGGUGGAAUUUCCUGUGUAGCGGUGAAAUUCGUAGAUAUUCGGAGGAACACCAAUGGCGAAGGCGACCACCUGGACUGAUACUGACACUGAGGUGCGAAAGCGUGGGGAGCAAACAGG
This 253-nucleotide ribosomal RNA is filed under the name uncultured bacterium. RNAcentral describes it as "partial 16S ribosomal RNA". It matches the Rfam family "Bacterial small subunit ribosomal RNA", at positions 524 to 776 of the family's 1533-position model. The record is from RNAcentral.